UCAAAGAAGGGGCCCUGCGGGGGUGGAGAGGCUGAACAGCACCUAGUGGAAGGUGCCCUCGGUGGGUAAGAGGACGUGUUUGUGCCAGAGUCCAUUAGCAUGGGGAGUGUGCCUACCAUCUGGUCUCUCAGAGCAGGGACAGGCACAGCUGUGACUGCUCAUCCUCAGUGAGGCUGACCCUAAAGCAUAGCCACGGGUAUAUAUUGUAAAUCUCCUUGGCCUUCUCCAGAGGGUUGUGCCACCAUUUUGCAGGUGACUGUCAUUAAGAAAGGGGAACUAGUGAGACUUUGGGGGAAUUGUUGUAUACUGGAUGUGAGAUGACACUACCUCCUAGGGACUCAAAAUGCUACGAUGGCCCAUCAGCCAGAGUAGCAGAUUGUUGUGGUCAAGUGGUUAAUAGGGUUUUGCUUCAGGUCCAUUUCACAGUGGGCCAAGUGUGUCCCUGAACCUAUCCUAUGCUUAUAUCCCCAGUUCUGGGGUGCAUAACUGGAACAUAGACAUACUCAGCAACUGGCAGAGCCCCCACAUUGUUUCCUUGACCCGUGGAAUGAACUAAAGGCUACUUUGGUGGGAAAGGCCAAGUCGCAGGUUCUAGAAUGGCCUCAGAAGCAUUAUGGCAUUCCUGGAGGGACUGCAGAGGUUAGUGCUGCUAUCAAGGACUUGAAAGUCAGGGUUAGAGAAUCCUACCGUAUUUCCAUUUCACUUGCCUAUUUGGCCUGUGCAGAAGACAGAUGGAUUUUAGGAACCAACAGUGGAUCAUUGUACACUCAGUCAGUUGGUGACUUCGAUUGCAGUUGCUUAUCCAGAUAUGUACAUUUUUCACAUCCUCUAGCAUCUGGCAUGCAGUUAUUAAGCUUGCAGAUGCCUCUUCCCCUCUGUACAUGUUAGUAAAGGUUAGCAGAAGCAGUGUGCCUUUAGCUGGCAGGGCUAGCAAUGUACCUUCACUGAACUAACUCUUCUCUAGUCCUCUGUCAUAAUCUAAUCUACAGGACUCUUGCUUGUCCCUCUAUUCCAUGAGACAUCAUACUGAGCUACUACACUGAUGACCAUUGAUGACAUCAUGCUGAUUGGACCUAGUAAGCAAGAAGAUUUGAAGUGGCAGAAAGUGCUCUAUACCACACCGAGUAAGCCUCAAUAAAAAUUUCUUCAUCUGACUUUCAAAAAGACUGCGGGCAAGGCUCGCUUGGAGGAAUGCGGUGGAGACGUCCGGCAUCUGGACAUUCCUUCCGCGUGAUGGCACACAUCUGGCUCUUUGGAAUGAGCAGAACAUUUCCCUUCCAGUUUCCCUCCAGAUGUCUGAGGAUUUGAAGCUACAGCCCAAGAGACACACAGGAAGACUACAGUUCUAUGCAGUAGCACUUAGUUGAUUGUGAGAUCGUGUAUCCCUCUUGUACCCCCGCUGAGGAGGCUGUGGGGGCACAGCGUCUCAGCCUGACACUGGGUCAACUGCACGGAAGGUGGGUGCUCUGAAGAGUUGCCUGGAGCUGCAGGGGAAUUUGUGUGAAUGAGAAAUAAACCACUGUCUUGUUAAGCCAUUGAGGUUUGGGGGUUUUUUGUA
Non-coding RNA from Leptonychotes weddellii (Weddell seal), 1558 nucleotides. NCBI's taxonomy places the organism in Eukaryota, Metazoa, Chordata, Mammalia, Carnivora, Phocidae. The record is from RefSeq and is a predicted model, not a curated record.